Molecule: non-coding RNA, 46 nt
Organism: Schistosoma margrebowiei
Lineage: Eukaryota; Metazoa; Platyhelminthes; Trematoda; Strigeidida; Schistosomatidae
Source: Rfam
GCACUGCUGAGGAGUCCCAUAAUAGAACGAAACGGUAGUCCAAUGC